RNAcentral lists this transfer RNA (74 nucleotides) under Rhodopseudomonas sp. BR0C11. RNAcentral describes it as "tRNA-Trp". It matches the Rfam family "tRNA". From Rfam's summary of the family: Transfer RNA (tRNA) molecules are approximately 80 nucleotides in length. Their secondary structure includes four short double-helical elements and three loops (D, anti-codon, and T loops). Lineage: Bacteria; Pseudomonadati; Pseudomonadota; Alphaproteobacteria; Hyphomicrobiales; Nitrobacteraceae. The record is from RNAcentral.
GGGGGCGUCGUCCAGUGACAGGACUCCGGCUUCCAAAACCGGCUACGUAGGUUUGAUUCCUGCCGCCCCUGCCA